Rhexocercosporidium sp. MPI-PUGE-AT-0058 is the source of this 110-nucleotide non-coding RNA. Lineage: Eukaryota; Fungi; Ascomycota; Leotiomycetes; Helotiales. The record is from the annotation of a GenBank genome assembly.
UCCGGAAUGGUGUAGUGGUUAGCAUUUCUGCCUCUCAACUAUCUCGUCUAAAGUCGAAGACAAGAGAGGAAAGUCCGCAGGAGACCGGGGUUCAAUUCCCCGUUCCGGAA